RNAcentral lists this transfer RNA (69 nucleotides) under Ictidomys tridecemlineatus (thirteen-lined ground squirrel). RNAcentral describes it as "Spermophilus tridecemlineatus (thirteen-lined ground squirrel) tRNA". It matches the Rfam family "tRNA". From Rfam's summary of the family: Transfer RNA (tRNA) molecules are approximately 80 nucleotides in length. Their secondary structure includes four short double-helical elements and three loops (D, anti-codon, and T loops). The record is from Rfam by way of RNAcentral. Lineage: Eukaryota; Metazoa; Chordata; Mammalia; Rodentia; Sciuridae.
GGAGUUGUGGCUUAGUGGUAGAGCACUUGCCUAGCAUGUAUGAGGCACUGAGUUUGAUCCUCAGCACCA